RNAcentral lists this ribosomal RNA (876 nucleotides) under uncultured Delftia sp. RNAcentral describes it as "bacterial SSU rRNA". It matches the Rfam family "Bacterial small subunit ribosomal RNA", at positions 1 to 883 of the family's 1533-position model. Lineage: Bacteria; Pseudomonadati; Pseudomonadota; Betaproteobacteria; Burkholderiales; Comamonadaceae. The record is from RNAcentral.
UAGAGUUUGAUCCUGGCUCAGAUUGAACGCUGGCGGCAUGCCUUACACACGCAAGUCGAACGGUAACAGGUCUUCGGACGCUGACGAGUGGCGAACGGGUGAGUAAUACAUCGGAACGUGCCCAGUCGUGGGGGAUAACUACUCGAAAGAGUAGCUAAUACCGCAUACGAUCUGAGGAUGAAAGCGGGGGACCUUCGGGCCUCGCGCGAUUGGAGCGGCCGAUGGCAGAUUAGGUAGUUGGUGGGAUAAAAGCUUACCAAGCCGACGAUCUGUAGCUGGUCUGAGAGGACGACCAGCCACACUGGGACUGAGACACGGCCCAGACUCCUACGGGAGGCAGCAGUGGGGAAUUUUGGACAAUGGGCGAAAGCCUGAUCCAGCAAUGCCGCGUGCAGGAUGAAGGCCUUCGGGUUGUAAACUGCUUUUGUACGGAACGAAAAAGCUCCUUCUAAUACAGGGGGCCCAUGACGGUACCGUAAGAAUAAGCACCGGCUAACUACGUGCCAGCAGCCGCGGUAAUACGUAGGGUGCGAGCGUUAAUCGGAAUUACUGGGCGUAAAGCGUGCGCAGGCGGUUAUGUAAGACAGAUGUGAAAUCCCCGGGCUCAACCUGGGAACUGCAUUUGUGACUGCAUGGCUAGAGUACGGUAGAGGGGGAUGGAAUUCCGCGUGUAGCAGUGAAAUGCGUAAAUAUGCGGAGGAACCCCGAUGGCGAAGGCAUCCCCUGGACCUGUACUGACCCUCCUGGCCCAAAACCUGGGGAGCAAACAGGAUUAAAAACCCUGGGAAUCCCCCCCCUAAACAAUGUCAAUGGGUUUUUGGGAAUUUAUUUUUCCCAAAACAAACUAAACGCGGAAAUUUACCCCCCGGGGGGAAC